UACGGAGGGUGCUAGCGUUGUUCGGAAUUACUGGGCGUAAAGGGCGCGUAGGCGGCCGUUUGCGUCGGAUGUGGAAGCCCGGGGCUCAACCUCGGAACGGCAUUCGAUACGGGACGGCUGGAGACCGGGAGAGGAGAGUGGAAUAGCCAGUGUAGAGGUGAAAUUCGUAGAUAUUGGCUGGAACACCGGUGGCGAAAGCGGCUCUCUGGCCCGGUUCUGACGCUGAGGCGCGAAAGCGUGGGGAGCAAACAGGAUUAGAUACCCUGGUAGUCCACGCCCUAAACGAUGUGUGCUGGGCGUCGGGGGGCUUGCCCCUCGGUGCCGGAGCUAACGCGGUAAGCACACCGCCUGGGGAGUACGGCCGCAAGGUUAAA
This 374-nucleotide ribosomal RNA is filed under the name uncultured bacterium. RNAcentral's name for it is "bacterial SSU rRNA". It matches the Rfam family "Bacterial small subunit ribosomal RNA", at positions 524 to 898 of the family's 1533-position model. The record is from RNAcentral.